AGCUUUGCGCAGUGGCAGUCUCGUAGCCAGUGAGGUUUACCCGAGGCAUGAUUAUUGCUAAUUGAAAACUUUUCCAGAAAAGAUGCUGCUUGCUCUGAACAAACAGUGAGCAGUGGUUUGCUAUGGUCAUUUCCU
Small nuclear RNA from Mastomys coucha (southern multimammate mouse), 135 nucleotides. RefSeq annotates it as U4 spliceosomal RNA. The record is from RefSeq and is a predicted model, not a curated record. Lineage: Eukaryota; Metazoa; Chordata; Mammalia; Rodentia; Muridae. The transcript has a single exon.